AUACGUAGGUGACAAGCGUUAUCCGGAUUUACUGGGCGUAAAGGGCGUGUAGGCGGUCUUGCAAGUCAGAAGUGAAAUUCCUGAGCUCAACUCGGGCGCUGCUUCUGAAACUGCAGGACUUGAGUGCUGGAGGGGAUAGCGGAAUUCCUAGUGGAGCGGUAAAAUGCGCAGAUAUUAGGAAGAACACCGGUGGCGAAGGCGGCUAGCUGGACAGCAACGGACUCUGCGGCUCGAAAUCGUGGGGAGCAAACAGGAUUAGAUACCCUGGUAGUCCACGCCGUAAACGAUUAAUACUAGGUGUAGGGGGUAUCGACUCCCUCUGUGCCGCAGUUAACACAAUAAGUAUUCCGCCUGGGGAGUACGGCCGCAAGGUUGAAACUCAAAUGAAUUGACGGGG
Molecule: ribosomal RNA, 397 nt
Filed under: uncultured bacterium
Lineage: Bacteria
Description: partial 16S ribosomal RNA
Rfam family: Bacterial small subunit ribosomal RNA
Source: RNAcentral